Molecule: long non-coding RNA, 1323 nt
Filed under: Fragaria vesca (wild strawberry)
Lineage: Eukaryota; Viridiplantae; Streptophyta; Magnoliopsida; Rosales; Rosaceae
Description: long non-coding RNA (FVES_LNC003686)
Source: RNAcentral
UUCAAAUAGUGAGAAAGAAAAAUUGAAAGAGGUCAAGUAUUUUAUACCAUAUCUCUAUUUUUUCUUGUGGCCGAGUAGUUGGUCUUUGUACUUGUGUUUUAUAAACAUACCAUCAAGGGCAAAAAUAAGUCUGCAAUGUAUGAAGCCCUCAACGCAACCUUUAAAUAAGAUGAAUAUUCGUUUAAAACGAUGUUCUGCGUCACACUCUUGUGUAACAUAAGAGCCGUGAUUUGUCUUAACCAACUCAUUAACGUACCACUCCAAAUGUUUAUAUGAUAUCGCCUCAUCACCAUUGACAUUCUUUUUCACUAUCUCUUUAAUUACCUUUCCACAUGUUGUAGUAUGAAAUCUCCAGACUAUAAUUCCUCUUGAAAUCCUUAACAAUGUCGAGAUUUUAUGAGUGGAUUACUUCUGAAGCUAAUUCGUCAAAACCGACGAUACAAUUUUUCGAUCCCAUUAAAGGGUUUUUUCCGUCACAGAUGCGAGCGUAUUGCAAAUGUGUUCAUUGUUUAGUUUAAGAAUGUCAAAAAACACAUUCACAAGAUUACGAGUCGCAUGAAUAUUCCAUAAACAUCCUUCAUUUGUUCUCUUGUGAUAGACAACAAUAACAUGUGAUUGUUCGUUUUUCAAGAAUCCAUAGCGAAAACCCUUUUCAACAACAUGUUUGGCUAGUUUUUCUUUGAAGUCGUCGUCACCACCCUCAAACUUUUGCCCGACAUGUAUAAUUACAUGAUCAAAAGUAAAUAAACUAAAAUGGCGAUUCCCACGAUCAAAAGUAUAUUGUUCAAAGCUUAAAGAUUGAGAAAUGUUUCCACUAUUUUUACCAAGAAAGUUCACUAACGACUUGUUUGCACUUAAAAGAGACAAAUUGUCACGCCCCGACACAGAUUAACUUUCUAAUAUCGAGUUAAGGUGUGAAUCACAUAAGUAAAUUUCUAUAACAAAAAUGUGAUGUUGAAAGAAAAACAACUGUAACUUGAAUACUAGAUAUUAAGAUCUCAAAUCUCCAACGGAAGCAUAAUUACAUAAAAUCAGUUGUACAUAGUACACUAGUACGCAAUCAUUAUUUCAAACAACAUAACAAAAACACAAACGUCACACUCUAAUUAACAUUAUUAUACAAAACAAACUUCUUGCUCAAGUGUCUUGAUUCAGUACCUACAAAAUUUGUUAAGGGGUGAGCUCAACCAACGGCUCAAUAGGGACAUAAAACCUUCUCAUGGGUAAUUGAACACAUAUGGUACUAUCACAUAUUUUAAUUAUAACAUGCAUAUCAAACAAUGAUGCAAUGCAACUCCACAACAAUUUUAUACGACAAGUCUU